GCGGAAGGGGCGUGGCUCAUUUUUGAAAUACACUGGUUUCAGUGUAUAGCGACUGCAUAUAGCAGUCUGGAUGCAAAAUUUGGUGGCUCUAGCUCUUAUAGUCUCUGAGAACUAGCCGACAAACACGACGGACAGACAGACAUGGCUCUAUCGACUCGGCUAUUGAUGCUGAUCAAGAAUAUAUAUACUUUAUGGGGUCGGAAACGCUUCCUUCUGUGCGUUACAUACAACCGUUAUUCGCACAAAUACAAUAUACCCUAUUUACUCUUCGAGUACUGGGUAUAAAAAGAAACAAAAAUGUGUAGAUACCGAUGAAUAACGAGAAGGGACGUGUGAGAUGCUUCUUUCGCGUCACAACUUUUAUACCUGGCACUCAGUACUACAUCUGCACCUUAGCGGUUAUUUGUCAAGUUUUACAUUUGUUCUUCAUCUGUCAUCUACAUCAACAACACUACUCACGCCAACACGCUCCUUCACCUCGCUCCCCUUCCCUACACCCACACACUGCAGACUCUCAGCAGAGACAGUGGCCGCACACCGCAGAAGCAGAGUGUGAAUGAGAGAAU
RNAcentral lists this long non-coding RNA (566 nucleotides) under Drosophila guanche. The record is from RNAcentral. Lineage: Eukaryota; Metazoa; Arthropoda; Insecta; Diptera; Drosophilidae.